Long non-coding RNA from Homo sapiens (human), 887 nucleotides. Ensembl annotates it as long intergenic non-protein coding RNA 944. The record is from Ensembl. Lineage: Eukaryota; Metazoa; Chordata; Mammalia; Primates; Hominidae.
GCUGCAAGCUAAGUGGUUGAAACUUGAACCAGUCAUAUAGGGAGUUUAAGCUCUAGCUUCAGCCUGAUGUUUUUAACCAACUAGGCCCGCCAACCCACAAGCAGAUAGAAAAUAAGCUGAUUCUAUAGGACAGAAAAAGGAAGAGGGCAGGGGUCAUAAGGGGAUGUAAGCAUAAGAUACCCAAGCCAGAAACAGCAACCCUUCCAGGUCCCCUUCCCCCACGUGGAAGCUUUCCUUUCACUUUCGCUUUAAUAAAUCUUGCCGCAGCACACUCUCUAAUCGAGCUGUAACACUCGCCACUGCCGUCCACGGCUUCAUUCCUUGAAGCCGUGAGACCACGAACCCUUCGAUUGAGAAGAACCUUCGGUCGGAAGAAGACUUCUCGUCUCAGUAACAAUAACAAGAAAAACAGCCUAGACUAGACGCACAUCAGGAAGACAGUUAAUCCCGUCAUGUAUUGACCCGGAAACAUCAUCUCAUUUGCCUAUAAGACAGAGAGAGAGAAUGAUAGAAAUGCUGGAAGAACGAGCCUUGGGGCGGUAUCGCCCAGAUCUGAAUCCACACAGCAGCUGCUUCGGUCCCUGUAACUCAAGGCUUCCUCUUAAUCCUCUGUCCUCCAUCAACACCUGGCUGAGCAGGAACAACUAUGACCUAGGACCAGGGCCUUCAGGAAUCUUCACCCCUAACUUGAACUUCAUAACACUGGAGAGAGAGACUGUGGAAUGGAAUGACUCUCCAGAGCUGCAGAUUGAAGGCAUAUUUUCAUCUGACUUUGAUCUCAAUGGCGGGAACACCUUCAUGGCCCCUUUAUAGCUGGUAUGUUUUCUUCUUAUGGACAAUGAGAAACAUGUAAUAAACUGUGUUUCCUUCUCGCUAGGAAACCCUGA